CAGACGAUAUCGGAAGAGUUGUACUGUCUUGGGUGGCUGACUGAUUUAUACGGAUUAGGAUUCGAAAGACCGAGCGGAUAGAAAAAUCGAAAAGACCCUAAAUGAAUACUGGAAUAAUAACCGCUUGGAUCUAGAUGACCGAGACGGAGGG
Molecule: non-coding RNA, 151 nt
Organism: Desulfosporosinus sp.
Lineage: Bacteria; Bacillati; Bacillota; Clostridia; Eubacteriales; Desulfitobacteriaceae
Source: Rfam